RNAcentral lists this ribosomal RNA (655 nucleotides) under uncultured bacterium. RNAcentral's name for it is "bacterial SSU rRNA". It matches the Rfam family "Bacterial small subunit ribosomal RNA", at positions 816 to 1470 of the family's 1533-position model. The record is from RNAcentral.
CUAGGUGUGGGUCCCAUUCCCGGGGUCCGUGCCGCAGCUAACGCAUUAAGCGCCCCGCCUGGGAGUACGGCCGCAAGGCUACAACUCAAAGGAAUUGACGGGGGCCCGCACAAGCGGCGGAGCAUGCGGAUUAAUUCGAUGCAACGCGAAGAACCUUACCAAGGCUUGACAUGCACCGGACGACUGCAGAGAUGUGGUUUCCCUUUGUGGCUGGUGCACAGGUGGUGCAUGGUUGUCGUCAGCUCGUGUCGUGAGAUGUUGGGUUAAGUCCCGCAACGAGCGCAACCCUCGUUCUAUGUUGCCAGCGGUUCGGCCGGGGACUCAUAGGAGACUGCCGGGGUCAACUCGGAGGAAGGUGGGGAUGACGUCAAAUCAUCAUGCCCCUUACGUCUUGGGCUUCACGCAUGCUACAAUGGCCGGUACAAAGGGCUGCGAUCCCGUGAGGGGGAGCGAAUCCCAGAAAGCCGGUCUCAGUUCGGAUUGGGGUCUGCAACUCGACCCCAUGAAGUCGGAGUCGCUAGUAAUCGCAGAUCAGCAACGCUGCGGUGAAUACGUUCCCGGGCCUUGUACACACCGCCCGUCAAGUCACGAAAGUCGGUAACACCCGAAGCCGGUGGCCCAACCCUUGUGGGGGGAGCCGUCGAAGGUGGGGCUG